Long non-coding RNA from Lotus japonicus, 3313 nucleotides. RefSeq lists it as uncharacterized. The record is from RefSeq and is a predicted model, not a curated record. Lineage: Eukaryota; Viridiplantae; Streptophyta; Magnoliopsida; Fabales; Fabaceae. The transcript is spliced from 3 exons.
UUAAAAAAAUAUAUCCUCUCAAAGUAUCUUCAACAAAUAUCUCACCAUCCUUAUCCCUCCGUCCACCUCAUCCUCGACUCACUCUCAUUUCUCUCUUCCUCACUAUUACUUUUUCUUCCUUCACGUUUUCUUUCUUUCUUCAGCAGACCCAUUUCUGCUCUUUCUUCCUUUCUUCUCCUUUUCUUCUUCUUUUCUUUCUUUGUUACCUACUUUAUCUCCUUCUUUUAUUUGCUGCAACAACUCCCCACCGUUCCUCUUUCUCUUUUGAUCAGUAUCUCCACAUCCUUUUCUUCUCCAUGGACAACCAGUCCAUGAGCCACCACCUCUACUCUCCCUCUUGUAACCGCUGAUCACACCAUCACUAUCACCAUGAUUCUUCUCCUUCCUAACUUGCAGCAACAAACAUGGCACCACCACCAAUAUGAAAGCCACACACACCCCUUCUCAUCACAUAUUUGCUCCAUCUUCUAACCACCACCGUUCCUGGCUCUCCAUGGAGCCUAACAAUCCACCAUCUUUGUUCUCCUUCUUCUGGUUUUGAAUGGAGAACCCCAUGAAAGGACCCAAGCACCACCACCGUGAGCUCCACCACGCAGAGGACGCCACCGGCACAUCACCCUCUCAUUUUCCUUGGGUACGAAUAACUGAAGCGCUUGACGACGAAGCCAAAGAACAAACGGAAGUGAGCCAACACGGGAAAGCAAAGAUAUGACUGGAUUUGAUUUGAGUCGCAACUUAGUAAGGAAAGCGCCUAAGACGACGAAAGGAGGUGAUGUGAGCAGAUGCUACUCCACGUGGAAGAUCUAUAGAAGACUCGAAGAAUAGAGUCGGGUGUAGGGCAAGAGCCUUUGGGUAGAAAAACUUACCGUUAUUGGUUUAAGCUUGUAGGAUAAUUUUAUGAUUCGCAUUUGAGGUUUUGGGUAGGUUCCGGUGCAUUGCUUUCCUAUGGUUACCCGGUGUGGAAAUCAUAGGGAGUAUAUCGGAUCUAUGGAGUCAUUGCAUAGUGAGUCCGUCCUUCCCAAAGAUCCUCAACUUAGAUUUCUCUAGUAUGCUCCUUCCCUAGGCCAAAGAAUCAUUACUCUAAUACCAACUCCUGUGGCGUCCCCCUUCCACAAGUGACGUAUUCGUCCAACUCCUAUCACUUAUGAAUGAGUGAGCCGUUUUUUUUUUUUUUGUCGCAUUAGUGUUAGUGUUAGUGUUACCGUUCUAAUGAUGCAUCGAUUCAGAGACCUUUUACGACUUCUCACAGUCGCAGAGUUCCCCUCUAACCUUUUCAGAUGGAUGACCGUAUACAUAAAGGCAAGCAAGUUAGCACACAAUAAAGCAUUAAACACAUAGCAUACGUGGCGAAGGUCACUAUAAAGUUCGAAUGACAGAAGCCAAUAGAGUGUUCAACUGAGGGUAUACACAUUCCUCCACAAGGCAUCAUCAAACAAAAACUUAAUUAAUUAAGAGAACUAGUGUGAACUAUCAUCGGACCAUACGACUUCACUCCCCAACCUCCUCCUCUUCCGGAUCCUCUUCCAUGUCACCACUGCUCCCCUCCUCCGGCACUGGCAUAGGCACCCUCUCCCCCAAUCCGUCGGGUUUCACGGACCGCUGUCAUCAGUAUGUCUUCCGCAUAUCUUCUUCCAACUCCCACGUAGCUUCCCGGUCUUCCCCUUCUCCCCAAGCUACCUUUACUAAUGGGAUUUCUUUCUUCCUAAGUUUCUUCAUCCUCCUAUCUAAUAUCUGUUUAGGUUCUGCUGUGUAUGUUAGGUUUUCUCUAAGUUGUAUAUGUUCAGGUUUCAUCACAUGAGAGGGGUCAGGUAUGUAUCUUUUCAUCUGGGACACAUGAAAGACAUCGUGCAAGUUUGACAACGAGGGUGGAAGGACUAUCUGAUAAGUUGAUGCCCCCACUCUCCUAAGGAUUUGAUAAGGUCUUAAGAAUUUAGGUGAGUUUCCUUGACCUUAUAGAUCUUCCUAUCCCUGUGACCGGACUAAUCCGAAGGAAAACAUGAUCUUCUUCCUCAAAUUCUAAAGGCUUCCUUCUGCGGUCAUAGUAAGCCUUUUGUCGGUCCUGUGCUAUCCUCAGCUUCUCCCUAAUCCUUUUUACUUUCUCGGACAUCUCUUGUACCACUUCGGGUCCUAAGACUAUCUUGUCUCCUUCGUCAAACCAUCAUAGUGGCGUCUUGCACUUCCUUCCAUAUAGCGCCUCGAAAGGUGCCAUUCCUAAACUUGAGUGGAAACUAUUAUUGUAGGAAAAUUCUACCAAUGGUAGGCAGUCUUCCCAGUUUCCUCGCUCUUCCAAAAUGCAAGCUCUUAACAUGUCCUCGAGUGUCUGGAUCGUCCUUUCGGUAUGUCCAUCGGUUUGGGGAUGAUAAGCCGAGCUAAAUCUUAAAUUCGUUCCCAAAGCCUUGUGUAGACUCUUCCAGAAUUGUGAAGUAAAUCGCAGAUCUCGGUCCGAAACUAUGCUUGUUGGUAUUCCAUGCAGUCUUACAACUUCUUUGAUGUAAAUCUUGGCCAACUUUUCCAAUGAAUAUGUCAUGUUAACCGCGAUGAAAUGUGCACAUUUUGUAAGUCGGUCCACAAUUACCUAGAUCGCGUCAUUCUAAGCUUGCGUCUUAGGUAACUUUGUGACAGAAUUUGUGACGGAACUAAAGAAAAUUUGUGAUGGAAAAUAUUUACUCGUUGCACUUUUGGGACGGAAUACAGUAAUUUACAUUUUUUAUGAAAAUACUAUUGUGACAGAAUGGGUAACAGAAAAAAUAUUUUCCUGUGACGAAAUGGAAAAUAACAUAGUCCGUCCCAAAUUGUGCGAUGGAUAUAUUCCGUCACUGAGCUGUGAAGUUUGUUUGGGGACGAAAUAUUCCGUCGCUAAUUUGAACUUUUUUAAAAAAAAUUAUUUGGGCCAGUCCAAUCAAUGUGCAGUAUAAAGUGAUACCAAAAUGCAAAUAUGACAACAAAUCCUUUCCUUGGGCAAAGGUCAGUUCCUUGGGCAAAGGUCAGUCCACUUAUUUGCCUUAAUUUAUCUCAGACUCAAACACCAAUAUAUAAUUAUAUAUAUAAGAAAAAUUGAAGAGGUGGAUCCACAGUAUGCCACAUUUUGUGUUCAAAUUUAUGAUGAAUAGAUAGAUACAAUCAGUUAGCCAAAAUACCAAAAGAAACUUAUGAAGGAACUACAUAGGUUCACAUUACAAGCUUAUCUCCUACCCAAAGAUUUGGCAAUUAAAGGAGCAAAUUCCACACAUGGAAGAACUCACAUCGUCUCAUAGCAUGCUCCCCCUGCUGCCUUAUGUUUACAGCACACAGACUUCAUGGUAAAGCUCCAUAU